This 253-nucleotide ribosomal RNA is filed under the name uncultured bacterium. Its description in RNAcentral is "partial 16S ribosomal RNA". It matches the Rfam family "Bacterial small subunit ribosomal RNA", at positions 524 to 776 of the family's 1533-position model. The record is from RNAcentral.
GACGAACCGAGCGAACGUUGUUCGGAAUCACUGGGCUUAAAGGGCGCGUAGGCGGGUGCUCAAGUCCGGGGUGAAAUCCUCCAGCUCAACUGGAGAACUGCCUCGGAUACUGGGUGUCUCGAGUGUGGUAGGGGUAUGCGGAACUAUCGGUGGAGCGGUGAAAUGCGUUGAUAUCGAUAGGAGCUCCGGUGGCGAAGGCGGCAUACUGGACCACUACUGACGCUGAUGCGCGAAAGCCAGGGGAGCAAACGGG